Molecule: ribosomal RNA, 207 nt
Filed under: uncultured bacterium
Lineage: Bacteria
Description: partial 16S ribosomal RNA
Rfam family: Bacterial small subunit ribosomal RNA
Source: RNAcentral
CGCGUAGGUGGUUUGAUAAGCGAGAUGUGAAAGCCCCGGGCUUAACCUGGGAACGGCAUUUCGAACUGUCAGGCUAGAGUAUGGUAGAGGAGUGUGGAAUUUCCUGUGCAGCGGUGAAAUGCGUAGAUAUAGGAAGGAACACCAGUGGCGAAGGCGGCACUCUGGACCAAUACUGACACUGAGGUGCGAAAGCGUGGGGAGCAAACA